UACACAAACUCAUUUCGUUUUUUACCUCUUGCUAUUCUGAGUUCUGACCCUUCUUAUUUCCAUUUCAAUCUCCUCUCUUUUCCAUACAUUUGGUCAGACAACCAAAAAACCAAUCUUCCCUGAACUAUGUGGUUGAAUCUCAAUCUCAAAGGAUUGCGUGAAUGACUUCAAAGGGCCUCAAAUCUACUCGAGAGAUGUUCUCCAUGCUUUGCAUCGAUUUCAUCAGGAAUAUAGGGCCGACCCAAAAGAUCAUCCUCUAGCCAAACGGUUGGCCUAUCAAGAUGGCAGUUAAUCAGGGUAAAUUUAUAACUGGUGGUUCAACCAAAUCCCAUAAAUCAAAUGAAUGAGUUACUUCUAAGCUUCUGAAGUGGCUUUCCUGGAUAGAAUACCUUUAUGGACCUAAUAUACACAGUCAGUAGUCUCCAAAACAAGAACGACCAAUUCCCAGAAUUGCAGAGCUCUAUGAUCACUAUGAAUAGCAAUAGAGUAAGAACUAAUACUACACAUUCAUAUAUAACUACACACCAUAACUGCCACACACACACACACACACACACACACACACACACACAAAAAACCCAAGUGUCAAGCUUCUACUAUUAUGUAUGGCUACAGUAGGUGAGGUUAAGUGUAUUAACAGUUGGUCAUUAUUUUGCAAGUGUAACCCAACAGUUGCCUCCUUUAAGUAAAGAAAUUCCACCUCUUGGCCAAAUUUCUGGAGCCUUUGACAUAAGAAAAAAAAAAAAAAAUUCCUUUUGUUUUAUGCCUUUUAUCUAUUUUUUACUACCUCUUCUCUUCCCUUCUCAACAUUUUCAUCUGGCAAGCUCUUUUAUAACUAGAACGGAAAAUUAUCAAUCUUUGAACUUUUUUAUUCCUUAUUUAAUAUUACCUUGGUUGGAUAAUGGUCCCCAAAGACUUGAAGAAAUUUCCAAUAAUCACAUUUUUUGCACUUAUCUCACUUCAGUCCAGUUGUGCAUCAAAUGUUUCUCAAGAUGGAACGUUGGCAUGCCUAUCCACUGAAGGUUAUCAAGGUUAGUUUUUUAUCCUCUUAAGUUUUGUCAAACAGCCUAAAAAAUUUAGUAUUAUCUAUAUAUAUAUAU
This is a long non-coding RNA of Quercus lobata, 1100 nucleotides long. RefSeq lists it as uncharacterized. The transcript is spliced from 3 exons. NCBI's taxonomy places the organism in Eukaryota, Viridiplantae, Streptophyta, Magnoliopsida, Fagales, Fagaceae. The record is from RefSeq and is a predicted model, not a curated record.